UCGGGUAUGGUGUAGCGGUAACAUCGUUGACUCUCACUUCUUCAGGAGUGACUGCUCUCUCAACAGCCCCGGGUUCGACUCCCGGUAUCCGAG
Transfer RNA from Sordaria macrospora k-hell, 93 nucleotides. It matches the Rfam family "tRNA". Rfam says of the family: Transfer RNA (tRNA) molecules are approximately 80 nucleotides in length. Their secondary structure includes four short double-helical elements and three loops (D, anti-codon, and T loops). Further hydrogen bonds mediate the characteristic L-shaped molecular structure. tRNAs have two regions of fundamental functional importance: the anti-codon, which is responsible for specific mRNA codon recognition, and the 3' end, to which the tRNAs corresponding amino acid is attached (by aminoacyl-tRNA synthetases). tRNAs cope with the degeneracy of the genetic code in two manners: having more than one tRNA (with a specific anti-codon) for a particular amino acid; and 'wobble' base-pairing, i.e. permitting non-standard base-pairing at the 3rd anti-codon position. NCBI's taxonomy places the organism in Eukaryota, Fungi, Ascomycota, Sordariomycetes, Sordariales, Sordariaceae. The record is from Rfam.